GGUUGAUCCUGCCAGUAGUCAUAUGCUUGUCUCAAAGAUUAAGCCAUGCAUGUCCAAGUAUGAACACGCUUUGUACGGUGAAACUGCGAAUGGCUCAUUAUAUCAGUGAUCACUUAUUUGAUGAUGGCUGCCACGUGGAUACCUGUGGAAAAUCCAGAGCUAAUACAUGCCAACACGCCCGACUCGCGAGGGAAGGGCGGUAUUUAUUAGGUAAGAGCCAGCCCUGGCAACAGGAGCGAUGGUGAUUCAUGGUAACUGCACGAAUCGCACGGCCUUGCGCCGGCGAUGGAUC
Molecule: ribosomal RNA, 292 nt
Filed under: uncultured eukaryote
Lineage: Eukaryota
Description: partial 18S ribosomal RNA
Rfam family: Eukaryotic small subunit ribosomal RNA
Source: RNAcentral